GGAUGGGUGGCAGAGCGGUUGAAUGCACCUGACUUGAAAUCAGGCGUACCCGCAAGGGUACCGGGGGUUCGAAUCCCUCCCCAUCCGCCA
This 90-nucleotide transfer RNA is filed under the name Burkholderiales bacterium. RNAcentral's name for it is "tRNA-Ser". It matches the Rfam family "tRNA". Rfam says of the family: Transfer RNA (tRNA) molecules are approximately 80 nucleotides in length. RNAcentral also lists the same sequence under 1 other name. The record is from RNAcentral. Lineage: Bacteria; Pseudomonadati; Pseudomonadota; Betaproteobacteria; Burkholderiales.